GCCAGAAUGAUGUAGUGGUUUGAGUGUUGGACUAUGACUUUGGAGACCAGGGUUCAAAUCCCAGCUUGGCCA
This is a non-coding RNA of Phrynosoma platyrhinos (Desert horned lizard), 72 nucleotides long. Lineage: Eukaryota; Metazoa; Chordata; Lepidosauria; Squamata; Phrynosomatidae. The record is from the annotation of a GenBank genome assembly.